UAGACCGCCUGGGGAGUACGGCCGCAAGGUUAAAACUCAAAUGAAUUGACGGGGGCCCGCACAAGCGGUGGAGCAUGUGGUUUAAUUCGAUGCAACGCGAAGAACCUUACCUGGUCUUGACAUCCACAGAACUUGGCAGAGAUGCCUUGGUGCCUUCGGGAACUGUGAGACAGGUGCUGCAUGGCUGUCGUCAGCUCGUGUUGUGAAAUGUUGGGUUAAGUCCCGCAACGAGCGCAACCCUUAUCCUUUGUUGCCAGCGGUCCGGCCGGGAACUCAAAGGAGACUGCCAGUGAUAAACUGGAGGAAGGUGGGGAUGACGUCAAGUCAUCAUGGCCCUUACGACCAGGGCUACACACGUGCUACAAUGGCAUAUACAAAGAGAAGCGACCUCGCGAGAGCAAGCGGACCUCAUAAAGUAUGUCGUAGUCCGGAUUGGAGUCUGCAACUCGACUCCAUGAAGUCGGAAUCGCUAGUAAUCGUGGAUCAGAAUGCCACGGUGAAUACGUUCCCGGGCCUUGUACACACCGCCCGUCACACCAUGGGAGUGGGUUGCAAAAGAAGUAGGUAGCUUAACCUUCGGGAGGGCGCUUACCACUUUGUGAUUCAUGGCUGGGGUGAAGUCGUAACAAGGUAAGUAUU
This 639-nucleotide ribosomal RNA is filed under the name sulfate-reducing bacterium enrichment culture clone B5a. Its description in RNAcentral is "bacterial SSU rRNA". It matches the Rfam family "Bacterial small subunit ribosomal RNA", at positions 865 to 1504 of the family's 1533-position model. The record is from RNAcentral.